AGGAAUAUUGGUCAAUGGGCGAGAGCCUGAACCAGCCAAGUAGCGUGCAGGAUGACGGCCCUAUGGGUUGUAAACUGCUUUUAUAAGGGAAUAAAGUGAGAGUCGUGACUCUUUUUGCAUGUACCUUAUGAAUAAGGACCGGCUAAUUCCGUGCCAGCAGCCGCGGUAAUACGGAAGGUCCGGGCGUUAUCCGGAUUUAUUGGGUUUAAAGGGAGCGUAGGCCGGAGAUUAAGCGUGUUGUGAAAUGUAGACGCUCAACGUCUGCACUGCAGCGCGAACUGGUUUCCUUGAGUACGCACAAAGUGGGCGGAAUUCGUGGUGUAGCGGUGAAAUGCUUAGAUAUCACGAAGAACUCCGAUUGCGAAGGCAGCUCACUGGAGCGCAACUGACGCUGAAGCUCGAAAGUGCGGGUAUCGAACAGGAUUAGAUACCCUGGUAGUCCGCACGGUAAACGAUGGAUGCCCGCUGUUGGUCUGAACAGGUCAGCGGCCAAGCGAAAGCAUUAAGCAUCCCACCUGGGGAGUACGCCGGCAACGGUGAAACUCAAAGGAAUUGACGGGGGCCCGCACAAGCGGAGGAACAUGUGGUUUAAUUCGAUGAUACGCGAGGAACCUUACCCGGGCUUGAAUUGCAGAGGAAGGAUUUGGAGACAAUGACGCCCUUCGGGGUCUCUGUGAAGGUGCUGCAUGGUUGUCGUCAGCUCGUGCCGUGAGGUGUCGGCUUAAGUGCCAUAACGAGCGCAACCCCUCUCCUUAGUUGCCAUCAGGUCAAGCUGGGCACUCUGGGGACACUGCCACCGUAAGGUGUGAGGAAGGUGGGAAUGACGUCAAAUCAGCACGGCCCUUACGUCCGGGGCUACACACGUGUUACAAUGGCAGGUACAGAGAGACGGUCCCUUGCAAAAUGGAUCAAAUCCUUAAAGCCUGUCUCAGUUCGGACUGGGGUCUGCAACCCGACCCCACGAAGCUGGAUUCGCUAGUAAUCGCGCAUCAGCCAUGGCGCGGUGAAUACGUUCCCG
Molecule: ribosomal RNA, 1018 nt
Filed under: uncultured bacterium
Lineage: Bacteria
Description: bacterial SSU rRNA
Rfam family: Bacterial small subunit ribosomal RNA
Source: RNAcentral